UAUCAUACAUAUCAAGGGUGAUAAUAAUUAUGGACCUGACUGUAUAUAAUGCACAACAUCAUGUCAUUGAGAACUAUCAUACCAGCACAAUGGUAGAUAUACCGUAUAAAAUAUAUUUUAAAGAUAUAAAACACUACAAUACAAGACCUGGCUGAAGAUGUCACAACGAAUGGAUAAUCUGAUAUGUCCCAUUGAAUUAUUACAUUAUAAAGGGCGUGUCUAUAUAUUACAUGGGGUCUUCAAACUGGGGUCUGCACCCCCCUAGGUGUCCACGCAUGUACUGCACCCCCCUAGGUGUCCAUGCAUGUACUGCACCCCCCUAGGUGUCCACACAUGUACUGCACCCCCCUAGGUGUCCACGCAUGUACUGCACCCCCCUAGGUGUCCACGCAUGUACUGCACCCCCCUAGGUGUCCACGCAUGUACUGCAACCCCCUAGGUGUCCACGCAUGUACUGCACCCCC
Molecule: long non-coding RNA, 464 nt
Organism: Oncorhynchus keta (chum salmon)
Lineage: Eukaryota; Metazoa; Chordata; Actinopteri; Salmoniformes; Salmonidae
Exons: 3
Source: RefSeq, a predicted model, not a curated record